This 2714-nucleotide ribosomal RNA is filed under the name uncultured Prevotellaceae bacterium. RNAcentral's name for it is "bacterial LSU rRNA". It matches the Rfam family "Bacterial large subunit ribosomal RNA". Lineage: Bacteria; Pseudomonadati; Bacteroidota; Bacteroidia; Bacteroidales; Prevotellaceae. The record is from RNAcentral.
GAAAGUAAGAAAGGGCGUACGGAGGAUGCCUUGGCUCUUACGAGCGAUGAAGGACGUGAUAAGCUGCGAUAAGCCGCGGGGAGGUGCAAAUGACCCUUGAUCCGCGGAUUUCCGAAUGGGACAACCCGCCAGACUGAAGGUCUGGCACACCGCCCAGUGCGGUGGGCAUACGCAGGGAACUGAAACAUCUUAGUACCUGCAGGAAGAGAAAAUAAACAAUGAUUCCCCCAGUAGUGGCGAGCGAACGGGGAAGAGCCCAAACCGGCGCUGUCUAGGCAGCACCGGGGUAGUAGGACCGCGUCGUGGCAAGAAGACUCCGAGGGGAAUGUGCCGGACCGCACAGCCGUAGAGGGUGAGAGCCCCGUAGCCGAAGGAGUCGGAAGCCUAGCGGUAUCCUGAGUAGCGCGGGACACGAGAAAUCUUGCGUGAAUCAGCCGGGCCCAUCCGGUAAGGCUAAAUAUAGAGUAAGAGACCGAUAGUGCACAAGUACCGUGAGGGAAAGGUGAAAAGCACCUCGAGCAGAGGAGUGAAAGAGAUCCUGAAACCGUACGCCUACAAGCGGUCGGAGCGGUGCGCAAGCGCCGUGACGGCGUGCCUUUUGCAUAAUGAGCCUGCGAGUUGCGGUCGUUGGCAAGGUUAAGGGCCAGAAGGCCCGGAGCCGAAGCGAAAGCGAGUCUGAAGAGGGCGCAUAGUCAGCGGACGCAGACGCGAAACCAAGUGAAAGCGUUGAAAAGCUUCUGGAUGAGGUGAGGGUAGGAGUGAAAGGCCAAUCAAACUUGGAGAUAGCUCGUACUCCCCGAAAUGCAUUUAGGUGCAGCCUUGUGAGAGAGAUGAAGAGGUAGAGCGACUGAUUGGAUGCGAGGGCUUCACCGCCUAUCAAGUCCAGACAAACUCCGAAUGCUUCAUUUUGCUUCACGGGAGUAAGGGUGCGGGUGCUAAGGUCCGUAUCCUAAAGGAGAACAAUCCGGACCGCCGGCUAAGGCCCCGGAAUGCGUGUUAAGUUAAACUAACGAAGUUGGAUUCCUGAAACAGCUAGGAUGUUGGCUUGGAAGCAGCCAUUCAUUCAAAGAGUGCGUAACAGCUCACUAGUCGAGGGAUCCGGCGUGGAUAAUAAUCGGGUAUGAAACACGCUGCCGAAGCCGCGGGAUACGCAAGUAUCGGUAGGGGAGCAUUGCAUGCGCGUUGAAUGCUGGGGAUGACCCCCGCUGGAGCGCAUGGAAAAGCAAAUGCAGGCAUAAGUAACGAGAAAGAGGGUGAGAUGCCCUCUCGCCGAAAGACUAAGGUUUCCUGAACAACGUUAAUCGGUUCAGGGUAAGUCGGGACCUAAGGAUAAGCCGAAAGGCGAGGCCGAUGGAAGAAACGUUUAAUAUUACGUUACUGGCGCAGCGCGUGACGUGGAGACGGUGUAGUGAAACCUCCGCGGCCUUACGGAAUAGGCCGUUGAAGGGUGUAGGCGCAGACGCAGGCAGGCAAAUCCACCUGCGGAGCCGAACCUGAUAGUAUGUGAAGCCUUCGGGCGGAUCAAGAGCGAGGGUAACCAUACAUCCGAGAAAAUCCGCUAAACAUCAACGCUGCGGCACCCGUACCGCAAACGGACACACGUAGUCGGGUUGAAAAUACUAAGGCGCUUGGAAGAUUCAUGGUUAAGGAACUAGGCAAAUUAACCCUGUAACUUCGGGAAAAAGGGUCCUCUCCGGUCAAAACGGAGAGGCGCAGAGAAUAGGUCCAGGCAACUGUUUACCAAAAACACAGGGCUGUGCGAAAUAAAGAGAUGAAGUAUACAGCCUGACACCUGCCCGGUGCCGUAACUAUAACGGUCCUAAGGUAGCGAAAUUCCUUGUCGGGUAAGUUCCGACCUGCACGAAUGGUGUAAUGAUCCGGACACUGUCUCAACCAUGAUUCCAGUGAAAUUGUAGUAUCGGUGAAGAUGCCGAUUACCCGCGAUGGGACGAAAAGACCCCGUGAACCUUUACUAUAGCUUAACGUUGCAGCCGGGCUGCCGAUGUGUAGGAUAGGCCGGAGGCUGAGAAGUAUCCACGCCAGUGGGUAUGGAGCCGCUGUUGAAAUACGGCCCUUUGGUAGUUUGGCUGCUAACCUGCUAAGAAGCGGGGACACCGUUUGGUGGGUAGUUUGACUGGGGUGGUCGCCUCCAAAAGAGUAACGGAGGCUUCUAAAGGUACCCUCAGACCGAUUGGUAACCGGUCGCAGAGUGCAAUGGCAGAAGGGUGCUUGACUGGGAGGCCGACAAGCCGAGCAGGUAGGAAACUAGAGCAUAGUGAUCCGGCGGUUCCGCAUGGAAGGGCCGUCGCUCAAAGGAUAAAAGGUACUCCGGGGAUAACAGGCUGAUCCCUCCCAAGAGCUCAUAUCGANNNNNNNNNNNNNNNNNNNNNNNNNNNNNNACGCGAGCUGGGUUCAGAACGUCGUGAGACAGUUCGGUCUCUAUCUAUCGUGGGCGCAGGAGAUUUGCGUGGCUCUGACACUAGUACGAGAGGACCGUGCCGGACUGACCUCUGGUAAACCGGUUGUGCCGCCAGGUGCAUUGCCGGGUAUCCAAGUCGGGAUCGGAUAAGCGCUGAAAGCAUCUAAGUGCGAAGCCGGCCACAAGAUUAGAUCUCCCCAUAAGGGUCGUUGAAGACGACAACGUUGAUAGGGUGCAGGUGUAAAGACGGUGACGUCAAAGCCGAGCACUACUAAUUGCCCGAGACUUUCCUGUC